UUUUUUUUUGGGGCUAACGAUAGGUAAAUUGUUAUCCUUUAUGGAGUUUUCCUUGGAAAAUUCUUGAGCAGCGAGGGUGGAAGGAGAAUGUUCAGAGUUGGAAUUGUCAGAGGAAGGAUUGCGCUUGGUAUGGGAAGCCGUGGAUUGUUCCUCGGGCUGAGUGUAGCCCUGAUAAAGUUUCCCUUUGAAAGAUCCGCGGCA
RNAcentral lists this unclassified non-coding RNA (201 nucleotides) under Hevea brasiliensis (rubber tree). The record is from RNAcentral. Lineage: Eukaryota; Viridiplantae; Streptophyta; Magnoliopsida; Malpighiales; Euphorbiaceae.